CAGUCGCCGCGGUAAUACGUAGGUGGCAAGCGUUGUCCGGAUUUAUUGGGCGUAAAGCGAGCGCAGGCGGUUUCUUAAGUCUGAUGUGAAAGCCCCCGGCUCAACCGGGGAGGGUCAUUGGAGACUGGGAGACUUGAGUGCAGAAGAGGAGAGUGGAAUUCCAUGUGUAGCGGUGAAAUGCGUAGAUAUAUGGAGGAACACCAGUGGCGAAGGCGGCUCUCUGGUCUGUAACUGACGCUGAGGCUCGAAAGCGUGGGGAGCGAACAGGAUUAGAUACCCCCGUAGUCCCUGUCUCUUAUAC
This 301-nucleotide ribosomal RNA is filed under the name uncultured bacterium. RNAcentral's name for it is "partial 16S ribosomal RNA". It matches the Rfam family "Bacterial small subunit ribosomal RNA", at positions 509 to 807 of the family's 1533-position model. The record is from RNAcentral.